GGGUUCGAGUUCUGGCUCAGGAUGAACGCUAGCGACAGGCUAACACAUGCAAGUCGAGGGGCAGCAUAGAAGUAGCAAUACUUGGUGGCGACCGGCGCACGGGUGAGUAACGCGUAUGCAACCUACCUAUCAGAGGGGAAUAACCCGGCGAAAGUCGGACUAAUACCGCAUAAAACAGGGGCACCGCAUGGUGAUAUUUGUUAAAGAAAUUCGCUGAUAGAUGGGCAUGCGUUCCAUUAGGUAGUUGGUGAGGUAACGGCUCACCAAGCCGACGAUGGAUAGGGGAACUGAGAGGUUGGUCCCCCACACUGGUACUGAGACACGGACCAGACUCCUACGGGAGGCAGCAGUGAGGAAUAUUGGUCAAUGGGCGGGAGCCUGAACCAGCCAAGUCGCGUGGAAAAGGAAGAAGGAUCUAUGGUUCGUAAACUUCUUUUGCAGGGGAAUAAAGUGCAGGACGUGUCCUGUUUUGUAUGUACCCUGAGAAUAAGGAUCGGCUAACUCCGUGCCAGCAGCAGC
This 519-nucleotide ribosomal RNA is filed under the name uncultured bacterium. RNAcentral's name for it is "bacterial SSU rRNA". It matches the Rfam family "Bacterial small subunit ribosomal RNA", at positions 1 to 518 of the family's 1533-position model. The record is from RNAcentral.